UGCCCAAUCAGCGUUGAGCUUGACCCGACGUCACUGGCAGAGAGACGGAGAGGACAGAACAGAAAUGGAGGACCAAAACCUGAUAGUAGCAGUGUGCAGCCGUCCUGUCCUGUACGACACAACGAUGGUGUCGUACAGGGACAGGAACAAAAAAGAGAGGGCGUGGGUCGACGUGGCCGAGGAUACUGGCUUUCCUGACCAGCCCAGCAGUGAGUCAGACCCAGAGGACGCUGAUGCUGCUCCUGCUCCUGCUCCUGCUCCUGCUCCUGCUCCUGCUCCUGCCCCUGUCCCUGUCCCUGCCGCUGGCCCUUCCUGUGUACCUGUCCCUGAGGCUGGCCCUGCCCCAAGACCACAGAGCGGGACGAAGAGGAAGAGAGCCAGGGUACCAGAGGGGAACACAAAUAUGCAGGGAGCCAUCCUCCAGGCCCUGCAGAGGCAAAAUGCUGUGCCUACCCCUACCCCGCUCUCUGGGAAUGAGCACUUUGUCAUGGGCCUAGUUCCUUCCCUGGAGAGAUUGCCACCUGAAGCACUGGAAGCCGUUUUGGGGUUGUUGUGCACUGCACUAUACGAUGGUGUCAUGCCACGAGAGGGUCCCUUCUGCAG
Long non-coding RNA from Gadus morhua (Atlantic cod), 603 nucleotides. NCBI's taxonomy places the organism in Eukaryota, Metazoa, Chordata, Actinopteri, Gadiformes, Gadidae. The record is from Ensembl.